UGCAAGUCGAGCGGUAGCACAGAGAGCUUGCUCUCGGGUGACGAGCGGCGGACGGGUGAGUAAUGUCUGGGAAACUGCCUGAUGGAGGGGGAUAACUACUGGAAACGGUAGCUAAUACCGCAUAACGUCGCAAGACCAAAGAGGGGGACCUUCGGGCCUCUUGCCAUCAGAUGUGCCCAGAUGGGAUUAGCUAGUAGGUGGGGUAACGGCUCACCUAGGCGACGAUCCCUAGCUGGUCUGAGAGGAUGACCAGCCACACUGGAACUGAGACACGGUCCAGACUCCUACGGGAGGCAGCAGUGGGGAAUAUUGCACAAUGGGCGCAAGCCUGAUGCAGCCAUGCCGCGUGUAUGAAGAAGGCCUUCGGGUUGUAAAGUACUUUCAGCGAGGAGGAAGGCAUUGUGGUUAAUAACCGCAGUGAUUGACGUUACUCGCAGAAGAAGCACCGGCUAACNUCCGUGCCAGCAGCCGCGGUAAUACGGAGGGUGCAAGCGUUAAUCGGAAUUACUGGGCGUAAAGCGCACGCAGGCGGUCUGUCAAGUCGGAUGUGAAAUCCCCGGGCUCAACCUGGGAACUGCAUUCGAAACUGGCAGGCUAGAGUCUUGUAGAGGGGGGUAGAAUUCCAGGUGUAGCGGUGAAAUGCGUAGAGAUCUGGAGGAAUACCGGUGGCGAAGGCGGCCCCCUGGACAAAGACUGACGCUCAGGUGCGAAAGCGUGGGGAGCAAACAGGAUUAGAUACCCUGGUAGUCCACGCCGUAAACGAUGUCGACUUGGAGGUUGUUCCCUUGAGGAGUGGCUUCCGGAGCUAACGCGUUAAGUCGACCGCCUGGGGAGUACGGCCGCAAGGUUAAAACUCAAAUGAAUUGACGGGGGCCCGCACAAGCGGUGGAGCAUGUGGUUUAAUUCGAUGCAACGCGAAGAACCUUACCUACUCUUGACAUCCACGGAAUUUAGCAGAGAUGCUUUAGUGCCUUCGGGAACCGUGAGACAGGUGCUGCAUGGCUGUCGUCAGCUCGUGUUGUGAAAUGUUGGGNUUAAGUCCCGCAACGAGCGCAACCCUUAUCCUUUGUUGCCAGCGGUUCGGCCGGGAACUCAAAGGAGACUGCCAGUGAUAAACUGGAGGAAGGUGGGGAUGACGUCAAGUCAUCAUGGNCCCUUACGAGUAGGGCUACACACGUGCUACAAUGGCGCAUACAAAGAGAAGCGACCUCGCGAGAGCAAGCGGACCUCAUAAAGUGCGUCGUAGUCCGGAUUGGAGUCUGCAACUCGACUCCAUGAAGUCGGAAUCGCUAGUAAUCGUAGAUCAGAAUGCUACGGUGAAUACGUUCCCGGGCCUUGUACACACCGCCCGUCACACCAUGGGAGUGGGUUGCUAAAAGAAGUAGGUAGCUUAACCUUCGGGAGGGCG
This 1408-nucleotide ribosomal RNA is filed under the name Lelliottia amnigena. RNAcentral describes it as "bacterial SSU rRNA". It matches the Rfam family "Bacterial small subunit ribosomal RNA". The record is from RNAcentral. Lineage: Bacteria; Pseudomonadati; Pseudomonadota; Gammaproteobacteria; Enterobacterales; Enterobacteriaceae.